RNAcentral lists this transfer RNA (69 nucleotides) under Pegasus laternarius. RNAcentral's name for it is "tRNA-Arg". It matches the Rfam family "tRNA". From Rfam's summary of the family: Transfer RNA (tRNA) molecules are approximately 80 nucleotides in length. The record is from RNAcentral. Lineage: Eukaryota; Metazoa; Chordata; Actinopteri; Syngnathiformes; Pegasidae.
AGGCACUUAGUUUAAGAAAAACACUUGAUUUCGGCUCAAAAGCCUACAGUUAAAAUCUGUAAGUACCUA